GCCCGCCGUCGGGCUCGUGUCCGUCCAGCACCUCCAGCUCCACCACAAAGGGCGUCUGCACGUCGCGCUUGAUCAGGCGCCAGAAAGGCCGAUCGGGCUCCAUGGCCCAGAGCAGCCCCAUGGGCUCGAGCCCCGAGAAGCUGCCGCCCAGCGCGGGCGUGCGCGCCAGGUCCAGCUCGCCGUGGGAGUCCGCGCGGUAGCGCGCGUGGGCUCGGAAGAGCGCGCCCUUCUCGUCGCGCAGGACAGAGCGCAGCGUGACGGGCUGCUCCGGGGCCAGGCCGCGCACAGCGAUGUGCACCGGCUGGUCACAAAGGCAACCACCCGCGGGCUCCAGGAUCACAGUUCCAAGAUGCUUCUCAGACUAGAACCCAGACAUGUGAGCCGCUGGCCAGCCGCAACAGAUCUGGCGACCCAACGCGGGACUGAGAAACAACAGAGGACAUUUGGAAGAAGCACUGCUGGUUUGGAGCUCCAUAGAAGAAGAAAAUAAUUAAAGGAAAUUCAUACCGGAGAAAGUCGGAUUGUUGUGGCAUAUCCCGAGCUAGUGUCUCGCCAGCAUGAACACACUCGGACAACCGGAUUCUUCUACAGCAAAGCUUUACUGCUUCAUCAGAAGGAAGACCCCGAACCCGGAAAAUGGCGCUGCUUAUAUACUCCUCCGCACGGCGUGUCAGCACCUGAUUUGUUGCUCGCCCAUCACCUCAUUGCUACUUGGCACGAAUUUACUCUUGCACCUGCGCACAUUACUUGUUUACCAGUUAGGCACAGCGGAGGCCAGCGCCAUCUUGUAAUGGCAAUUGCUCACGGCUCUCCGCAGUGACAAAAGGCUCCUCUAAUGUGGAUACAUUUGAGGAUUUCUCCUAAACGUAACAUCCUGCCAUAUUAUGAAGCAGUAGCUCAGAUGACCAUACUUGGAAGGAAACAGGCACUAACUUAUUUUGGCAAAGAGCCAGAUAUCAUUGUUCAGCCUUACAGCGUAGACCAAGAUACUUGGCUGAAGCAGCACAGUACGGAUUGGUUGCUUGCUCAAAUAGGAUUUGUAGGAACUAUAGAUAAUCAUUAUCCUCAAGAUAGGUUGAUAAAAAUUUUAAAUGUACAUGAGGUGAUAUUUCCUAAAAUGACAUUCUUACAGCCUUUAUAUAAUGCUCUAUUGAUUUUUACUGACGGCUCCUCUAAAGGGCGAGCUGGAUAUCUUAUGUAGUUGUAGUUAUACCCCCAAAGUCACCAAAAGCACAUCUUGCUUUUUUCUUGUUCAUUUUAAAUUUCUUGCAAACUGAUGUUAAAGGUCAGUCUGCAGCAGAUCGCCACUGGCAUCCAGUUACUUCCAGUUCUUAUGUCAUGAUUAAAUGGCGGGACCCAUUAACUAAUAUGUGGAAUGGUCCAGUCCCCGUUUUAAUCUGGGGAAGAGGUUCUGUCUGCCUCUUUUCACAAAAAGAAGAUGGAGCGCGAUGGCUGCCUGAAAGACUGGUUCGUCAAGUGGACACAGAUCCACUUGAAUCUUCUAGUAAGUAUGAUUCUAACCUCCUUGAUGGCUAAAAAUCCUUUUUAGCUAAAAAAGUUAAUUUGGAGCACAGCCUCCACUUUCAGAGAAUCUCAGGCUCUUAUGCUAAUUCUCAAAGCCAGCUCCCCAACACCAGGAGGUCAGAGUCUGAGCUUGAUUGUUGCUAAUUUGCAACUGAAUAAAGUACCUGGGCUUCCACAAAGAAGCUUUUAUCCUGUUGCUUUUCAACUAUCUUGACUUUGUUUGUCAGGCAGGUUAGUCUCUCCUUACAGCCUGAUUCCAGCAAGCAUGCAGCCUUGCCUCCAGCAAGUGCAGGUAGCAGAAAUUCAUCAAUAUGAAGAAGGAUAUUCAGUAUAUAUUGUGGCUUUGGUCUGAUUUGGGAAUAGGUGUGCUAUGAGGGCCGGACAGUCAAUGACGGGCAACCAGAUUUUGGAGCCAUAUCAAUCUAAGACAGAGGUACAUGCCAAGAGGCCGUGGUUUGUUAAUAAUACACCACAGAGCCAUGUUUGUGUAACAUAAACACAAACAAGCUGCAUGUAUGCUCCUUGAGGGAUAAGAAUGGCUCAGGAAAAUCUGAGAUCCUAAAACAGGCAUGGCCGCCAGCCACCAUAACUCCCAGGCAGGACUAUGGAGCAUAAAUAAAAUUUUAUGUCUCGGUCCAGCUAUUUUUAUUAUAUAAUCAGGGGGAAAAUUGUAGCCUCCCCCAGCCUGAAGUGGGCUGAUGCAAACCUUGCUGCCACUGAGAAUGAGACCACCUGGGGUGGAGCCUUUGGACCUAGAUGGCUCUAUUGUUCUGUCACCUGCCACUGCUCUCCUCCAAGACACUGCUACCUGCUGAGAGGCCCCUGAGAUAUUCUGGGGGCACAUCCUAUCCUGCACUUCGCCUGUAGGCUGGCUCCAGGCACCAAGAAUGGAUUGGUGGGGGAUGGGCUUUCCCCUUUUUAAGCACAGUCUCUGAGUAAAGUCUCGGGCCUUGAUCAGAACAUUUGUCUUGACUUCAUUAUCUUUUCUUUUCUCGAAGUCUAAGUCUCUUUCAGCCCCAGCCUGCCUUCCAGAAAUACCCAGUUCAUGUAGGCUGUGGGCCUGCUUACAACAUAAUCCCACACAGGCCUGGAGGCAGGGCUUCCAGGUGAUUCUAGAGCUCACAGAAUUGACAGUUGAUAUCAACCGGCAAGCAAGCUGGUCUUUACUAUAAGCAGAAGUAGAUUCACUGCACUCGGCUGAAGCUUGUGGCCUCCUAAGUGAGACAGACAGGGUAGCCCAGUGUCUAGCAUCAAACUGUUUUAUUGAUUUCAUUCUUCCCACCCUGCAUCGCCUCCUCCCUGAUUUGCCGGUUUAGACAAUGUUAUCCAUUUCCCAUAUGCUUUUUUUUUUUUUUUAAGAAUUAGUUUGAGCUAGAAAUUAUUAAUUCCUUCUUGAGAUUACUUCAAGGUGUUGUGUGGGGUCUCAUUACUUUCUGUUAUCCACGUUGCCCCCUAGCACCUCAGGUGUAAGAUUAUCUAUGGUUUGAAAGGAAGUCUUUUCCCAAGAGCCUGCACCACACUCUUUUUAAGCUGUGUCCACAGCUCCAGGGCAAGAUGUGGGAACUCUUUUGUGCCCUGACCCCUUUCUCAGCUUCUCCAUUGAUGUCUAACUUCUGUCAAACAUUGGGAAGAGAUGGUUUGGAGAAAAGGGCGUUAAGAACCAACUCCGGACUCUCAUUUUUAAUCAGGAAAACAGAUUGAACAGGCUUUGUGGUUUCUAAUUCAAUUUUUUUAUGACAAGGAUUUCAACCAAGGUUGAUGGAACCAGCAACACGAGAGAGCAAGUCAUGUGGGGAAGCAGAGUGUAAAUCCGCAAUCUGUGCUCAGUAGGUCUCAGCAUUGGGAGGUGACAGGGGUGGGGGUGCCACUUGAGGGCUUCCCAGCAUUGGGAGGUGACGUCAGGGGCACUUGAGGGCUUCCCAUUUUCUGUUUUGAAUAGGAAUAGCAGUCGAUGUUAUCUUAUUUCUCUUCAAGCAUGGGGUCAUGGAUUGCAUUCCUAGCGAUAGUUAACCCGACUCACAAGCACUCGGCAGAAGAAAGAUACUCAAGGAGCUAUGUCCAAGGGACUCCUUUGAGGAACCCCAUCUGUAUCCAAGCCUCUUGGACCUACAGGGAGCAUGGUGCUUUGAUCAAGGAGGGAUGGGUAUAUUUUGCAUAUAAAGGAAAUGCGUGGCUAGAUACAGUCUCUUUUCCCAAUUCAUGUAUUUGUCUAGAAUCUUGCUACGAUCCUUUUAGGAGUUAUACUCCACUCUUCUUGAACUUGGGUGGACCUUCAUAACUGCUUUGACCAACAGAAUAUGGCAAGAGUGAUGUUUAGCAGGCCCCAAAGGGAGGACAAAGAGUUACUUUGUAACUCUGCUUCACGUUCCUAGAUUGUUCACUCAGAGCUCAGCUUGAGGAGCCAGUGACCAGGUCCAGGUGGGUUCCCCCCUAGCUCACGGAUCUGUUUGAAUUCUAGGUUGAAAGUCAGCACCAACCUCUCUGCCAUCAAAGUAGACCCUCCAACCAUGAGUCAAAUAGAGGGGAUUUGUUCCUAAUGUCUUGCAUAGUUUAAAGUCUUGAAAAAAAAGUGAUUUUUAUCUUAAGCAACUUUAUUUCCAUGUGCUCUCUUACACAUAAUAGACCCCAAACAAGUCACCUAAAAAAGAAUGCUAAUUUAUUUUGUUUACAAUUCCACACUUUAGACAAGGAUUAACAAGAACAGCCCUUCUGUGCCCCCAAGGGAUCGGAAGUUGGCUAGGAAGAGUCAAAUGAUUGGAGCUGGAAUCCUCUGGAAUUUUUCCACUCACUACCUGAUACAUUGUCUGAUAACACUCCUGAUCUCACCUCAGUUGGCAGAGUCACUGGUAGACCUACAGUUUCCUACUCCAUGUGGGUUUAUUAUUAGUAUUUUGUAACUCUAUGUUACAGAUACACGCUGUUUUUCUUUAUGUAUUUUUGUACACAAACACACACACACACACACACACACAAAACCCUGGUGCCUCUGGAGGCCAAACGAGGGCAUUUAGAAAUUGUUCAUUUCACAAGACCGGAUGUCUCUGCGAUUCCAAUCUAAUGCUGGCGUCCCAGGGAAGUCCUAGAGAGCUGCAGACUCUUCUUCGAUCUUCACUGGAAUUCCAAAGAAGUAGGUUCUAACUCCAGUGCAGGGGAUGCCUCUGCAUCAGGGUAGAUAAACUUGCCAGUCAGAGAGAGGACAAGCAGGCAGAAAGCAAAAGCUUUGCCCUCCCAUGUCCUUUGAUGUAGGCUGCCUCCAGAACGUGCUCAGCUCAACCGUGGGUCUUUCCCCGCCUCCAACCAUCACAGCGUAAAGUCCCUCACAGGCAUGCGCAGAUGCUGGAGUUUUAGCUGACUCCAGAUGCAGUUGACAACAGACCCAUCUCUUCCAGUGGAUUUGUACAACAUAGCACUGAUACCGAGGGAAGGGAGGAAUAAUUCCCUAAUAUUAUUAUACUGUGACUUCUCAAGGUCUAGCCUUAACCAGGAAGUAAGACAGAAGAGAGAGCAUGGUCAUUUACCUCAGCUAGAGAGUUUACUUAAUUGUUCUAAGGACAGAGGCUUCAAACUCACCCUCUCAGAGGCCUCUUCCUCACCAGGCACGCAGCUUCAGCCAAUCAGGGCAGCAGGGGCACGCCUCCACCAAAUAUGGACUUGUUUAAACCGCCAGCAUCAUGGUGCACCUGUGCAGCUCUCACGAUGGUUGUGGCUUAUUUUCAGGUGUAUGAGGAAGUCAGGUGCAAGUCAUAAGACUUAGCUGCAGUCCCGGGCGCCAUCUUGGGACUGCUGCCACACCCGCUCCUCACAGGUUCCUGUGUUUGAAAACGUGGUACCCAGAUGGUGCUGCUGUUUUGGGAGGCUGUAGAAUCUUUGGGACAAGGGGCUUGCCCAAAAGCAGUAGACCACCCAGGUGCGGUGCGUGGGUUAUAGCCCAGCAUCUUCCGGCCUGAGCUGUAUGUAUCCUGAUGUCUGAGAUGUGAGCUUCUGUACUGCAACUUCCAUUUUUGUGUUUUCUAUACUUUAGUAGACUUUAACCUCCCACACUGUGGCCCCAAAUAAAUCCCAUCUAAAGUUGCUUCUAUUGGGCACUUGGUCACAGCAACGAUGAGAAUAACUGACACAACCUUCUGCCCAUCAUCACAUUCUGUAGCUCACUGGGAUUGUGGAGGCCAAAAUUUCUUAAGUAUCACCUUGGUUUCUAACAUAAAAGUAAGUAAAAAGUAUUCUUGUACUCUCUGUGCCUUUUACAUCUUAGCCCUUUCAUUUGUUUGUUAAGUCCUGGCUUCACAGCUCCAGAGCCAUGCUACAUACUGUCCUGGUUCUCCAGAAACCUUAAAACAUUUCCCAAACAUAGGAACUGGUCUCCUUAAAGUUAACCUGGGCUUCCGCAAAGGGAGAGAAGUCUGUCACAUACAAACAGGCGUGCUCUCUCUACAGGCUCACUCCUGUCCUCCACCAGUUCUGUCAUUAAACUCGAGAUUCUCAAAAGUGUAUUAUGAAAUCGUAGCAUCGUGGAACUCAGAAUUCCAUCUCAACUAACAAUAUAUUUACUAAUAUAAAAGCAGUGAGAAAUGUUUGCUAUAAGAAUCUAUGGCAAGGGCUGGUGAGAUGGCUCAGUGGGUAAGAGCACCCAACUGCUCUUCCAAAGGUCUGAAGUUCAAAUCCCAGCAACCACAUGGUGGCUCACAACCAUCUGUAACAAGAUCUGACGCCCUCUUCUGGGGUAUCUGAAGACAGCUACAGUGUACUUACAUAUAAUAAAUAAAUAAAUCUUUAAAAAAAAAAAGAAUCUAUGGCAAAAAGAAAACAAACAAACAAACAAAAAAAAAACUAUGGCAAGGGCCCAGUAAGGAGGUGACUCAGCAGUUAAAGCACUUGCCACAGGCGAGACCUCAGGAGUAUGGAUCCCUAGAACCUAUGUAAUUAAUGCCAGGUGGCCAUGGUGGCCACAAUUCCAGCCUAUGAAGGAGGAGCACCAGGCUUGCUCGAGGGACCCUGCCUCAAUGACUAAGACAGAAGAACAAUAGAAAAUUCCUGACAUUGUUCUUGGACCUUUAUAGACACAUCUGCAUGUAUGCGCCUGAAUCCACACAUACAUCCACCCACAUACAUACACAUGAAAAGAAAGAAAAGAAUCUGUGGUGGGUGGUAGAAAAUCUAGUGCUUAGUAGGAGAGAGAUGAGCGUUAGGAGUGUGUCAUCAUUGUCAUCGUCAUCAUCAUCGUCACUAUCAUCACCAGUGUUUCAGACAGGUUUCUAUGUGUAUCCCUGGCUGUCCUGGAACUCUCUCUGUAGAUGAGGCUAGCCUAGAACUCAGGCGUCUGCCUGCCUCUGCCUCCUGAGUGUUGGGAUUGGGACAUAAAACUUGAAGAAACACUAACCCUUGGGUGGUUAAACAUAUCGCUUACAGCUUCUUCAAAAUACUCCAGGCAGAGGGUCUCCAUGCUUUGGGGGAGGUCAUCAUAGUUAUAAAAAGCUGAUGCCAUCGUGAUGAAACCCUUUCCAAGCAUCCUAGCCACAAUUCAGGAGGCCACCUCCAACUCCAAAAUGGUUCACAAUCUCAGGAUAGGGCCCUGGUUCUGGGGAAGAAACAAAACCAAACCAAAGCUAAACGUUUAAAAUGAAUAAAAAAAUAAGCACACGGAGACUCUUAGCAACAGCAUCAACAGACAUUAGUUGGUUUUUUUUCUUCUGACAAUCAAAAUUUCAUACAAGACUUCUUCUAGUCUUCAAACAUCUGAGAGUAGUCCUGGCUAAAGAAGGAACCUUUGUACCUUGGGUUGCACUGCUCUGGACCCUGGAGAGGCACAAAUCACACGCAAACACCAAGUUCCAAACACAAAGAGAUCCUUUGUUAAGCAAGGCCGAGAGUCCAGGUGACUGAAGCAGCAGCAAAGAGCAUUGCAGCCUGAACCUGAAAAGCCUCAAGGAGACUUUAGAGAAAUCAUGGUUUGGAAAAUGCUUGUACCCAGUACAUGGGCUACAGAGAAACUGCAGCAGAGCCAACUGCCAGCCUCGACCAGGAGAACGCCCUCAGAUGUUGCUGCCUUGCUCUAUCAGAAGCUCCU
Long non-coding RNA from Mus musculus (house mouse), 7588 nucleotides. RefSeq annotates it as predicted gene, 40474. The transcript is spliced from 4 exons. Lineage: Eukaryota; Metazoa; Chordata; Mammalia; Rodentia; Muridae. The record is from RefSeq and is a predicted model, not a curated record.